CAGCCGCCGCGGUAAUACGGAGGGUGCAAGCGUUAAUCGGAAUUACUGGGCGUAAAGCGCACGCAGGCGGUUUGUUAAGUCAGAUGUGAAAUCCCCGAGCUUAACUUGGGAGCUGCAUUUGAAACUGGCAAGCUAGAGUCUUGUAGAGGGGGGUAGAAUUCCAGGUGUAGCGGUGAAAUGCGUAGAGAUCUGGAGGAAUACCGGUGGCGAAGGCGGCCCCCUGGACAAAGACUGACGCUCAGGUGCGAAAGCGUGGGGAGCAAACGGGAUUAGAUACCCGAGUAGUCCCUGUCUCUUAUAA
RNAcentral lists this ribosomal RNA (301 nucleotides) under uncultured bacterium. RNAcentral's name for it is "partial 16S ribosomal RNA". It matches the Rfam family "Bacterial small subunit ribosomal RNA", at positions 509 to 809 of the family's 1533-position model. The record is from RNAcentral.